This 386-nucleotide ribosomal RNA is filed under the name uncultured bacterium. RNAcentral describes it as "bacterial SSU rRNA". It matches the Rfam family "Bacterial small subunit ribosomal RNA", at positions 28 to 412 of the family's 1533-position model. The record is from RNAcentral.
GACGAACGCUGGCGGCGUGCUUAACACAUGCAAGUCGAACGGUGAACCAGAGCUUGCUCUGGGGAUCAGUGGCGAACGGGUGAGUAACACGUGGGCAACCUGCCCCAGACUCUGGGAUAACCUCGGGAAACCGAUGCUAAUACCGGAUACGACCACUUCGGACAUCCGACGGUGGUGGAAAGUUUUUCGGCUGGGAUGGGCCCGCGGCCUAUCAGCUAGUUGGUGGGGUAAUGGCCUACCAAGGCGACGACGGGUAGCCGGCCUGGAGAGGGCGACCGGGCCACACUGGAACUGAGACACGGUCCAGACUCCUACGGGAGGCAGCAGUGGGGAAUAUUGCACAAUGGGCGAAAGGCCUGAUGCAGCGACGCCGCGUGAGGGACGAC